GACGAACGCUGGCGGCGUGCUUAACACAUGCAAGUCGAACGGAAAGGCCCUGCUUUUGUGGGGUUCUCGUGUGGCGAACGUGUGAGUAACACGUGAGUAACCUGCCCUUGACUUUGGGAUAACUUCAGGAAACUGGGGCUUAUCCCGGAUAGGAGCUCCUGCUGCCUGGUGGGGGUUGGAAAGUUUCGGCGGUUGGGGAUGGACUCGCGGCUUAUCAGCUUGUUGGUGGGGUAGUGGCUUACCAAGGCUUUGACGGGUAGCCGGCCUGAGAGGGUGACCGGCAACAUUGGGACUGAGAUACGGCCCAGACUCCUACGGGAGGCAGCAGUGGGGAAGAUUGCACAAUGGGCGGAAGACUGAUGCAGAAACGCCGCGUGCGGGAUGACGGCCUUCGGGUUGUAAACCGCUUUCGCCUGUGACGAAGCGUGAGUGACGGUAAUGGGUAAAGAAGCACCGGCUAACUACGUG
This 468-nucleotide ribosomal RNA is filed under the name uncultured bacterium. RNAcentral describes it as "partial 16S ribosomal RNA". It matches the Rfam family "Bacterial small subunit ribosomal RNA", at positions 28 to 507 of the family's 1533-position model. The record is from RNAcentral.